This 253-nucleotide ribosomal RNA is filed under the name uncultured bacterium. Its description in RNAcentral is "partial 16S ribosomal RNA". It matches the Rfam family "Bacterial small subunit ribosomal RNA", at positions 524 to 776 of the family's 1533-position model. The record is from RNAcentral.
UACGAAGGGGGCUAGCGUUGUUCGGAAUUACUGGGCGUAAAGGGCGCGUAGGCGGUCCUUCAAGUCAGGCGUGAAAGCCCCGGGCUCAACCUGGGAACCGCGCUUGAGACUGGCGGGCUAGAGUUCGGGAGAGGAUGGUGGAAUUCCCAGUGUAGAGGUGAAAUUCGUAGAUAUUGGGAAGAACACCGAUGGCGAAGGCAGCCAUCUGGACCGACACUGAUGCUGAGGCGCGAAAGCGUGGGGAGCAAACAGG